This 99-nucleotide ribosomal RNA is filed under the name uncultured bacterium. RNAcentral describes it as "partial 16S ribosomal RNA". It matches the Rfam family "Bacterial small subunit ribosomal RNA", at positions 1384 to 1482 of the family's 1533-position model. The record is from RNAcentral.
UACACACCGCCCGUCACACCAUGGGAGUUGGCUUUACCCGAAGCCGGUGCGCGAACCGCAAGGACGCAGCCGACCACGGUCAGGUCAGCGACUGGGGUG